RNAcentral lists this long non-coding RNA (1078 nucleotides) under Chloebia gouldiae (Gouldian finch). RNAcentral's name for it is "Erythrura gouldiae (Gouldian finch) lncRNA (ENSEGOG00005010843.1)". The record is from RNAcentral. Lineage: Eukaryota; Metazoa; Chordata; Aves; Passeriformes; Passeridae.
GGGGAGGGGGCUCUGCCGGCGGGGAGGGGGCGCAGAGCCCCCAGGAUCAGCCCCUGCCAAAGCAGGGGCAGCGCUGGCACCGCGGACACAAAAGGCGAUUGUUCCCUGCAGCCCAGAGGGAGGGAGGGAGCCCUGAGGUCCCCCCAAGCCCCUUGAUUUAUGGCUCGCAAUAAUAUGUGUUGGAGCCCUGCAACCCAGAGUGCUGUGCGGGUGACCUGGAAAAAUAAGUCUAUUAACCCUAAUCAAUCUCCCAUUAUCCACCCUCGUCCACAAUUUAGGCAGCAAAGGAGUCACCAAGGCCUCUCAAGUCGCUUCGAACUAAUCCCAUUGUCUUUCCUAAUCAGGGGCCAUGAGCGAGGAGCGGCUUCUCCAGCGCAGCAUUGUCACUCCGCGUUUGAGGGAAAAGAACUGGGGGGGACCGAGGCUCGCUCUUUCAUCUUUUAAUGAGAAAGUGGAGGAUUGUUUUCCUUCUGAAUUGCUGGGCCUCGGUGAAGCCCCGGGCUCCGGUGGGUGUCAGUUCCCAGGGCCCGCAGGGAGCGCUGGGCACGCAGCAGGAAAGCUGCUCUGCUAAAAGGCCCUCCUGCAAUUAGCAAAACCGUGGCUGCAGAUUAAGUGCUUUAUUAGGGCACUAAUGAUGAAGUUUAUCAGGGCUGGGGUGCAGCUCGGCUCAGCUGUGGCACCCCAUGGAAAGGAGAGAGGGGACAAAGGGACCUGGCGUGUCACUUGUACGGAUUCAGCAGAAAAUGUCACUUGAAUCUGGACCAGGAAAACCAGGAAUACAAAGCCUCUUUCUGACUGAGGUCCAAAGGACAUCCCUUUUUCCUCCAGAGAAGCCACGUGUCCAGGUGCAACCUGCCAGCGUGUGGGAUUUUCCAGCUGUGUGCAUUGGCCUGAGGUUGUUCCCAGAGCAGGGCAGAGGGAGCUGGGACAUCUCCCUGACCCUUCAACACCCUGCAAAGUCAGCCCCUCCAACAGAGCUGCCACAACUGCUCAAACACUUUCUGGUGACCUGGACUGCACCUUUCUCUCAACCCCAAAAUGCUCACUCAUUCAAAGUGCAAAUUUUACUAAACUGCAG